GAUAUUAAAUAUUUAUAGGAUAGAGAUGGGCUCGCGUGACAUUAGCUAGUUGGUAGGGUAACGGCUUACCAAGGCGACGAUGUCUAGGGGCUCUGAGAGGAGAAUCCCCCACACUGGUACUGAGACACGGACCAGACUCCUACGGGAGGCAGCAGUAAGGAAUAUUGGUCAAUGGGCGGAAGCCUGAACCAGCCAUGCCGCGUGCAGGAUGACUGCCCUAUGGGUUGUAAACUGCUUUUGUCCAGGAAUAAACCUUUCUACGUGUAGGAAGCUGAAUGUACUGGAAGAAUAAGGAUCGGCUAACUCCGUGCCAGCAGCCGCGGUAAUACGGAGGAUCCGAGCGUUAUCCGGAUUUAUUGGGUUUAAAGGGUGCGUAGGCGGCCUAUUAAGUCAGGGGUGAAAUACGGUGGCUCAACCAUCGCAGUGCCUUUGAUACUGAUGGGCUUGAAUCCAUUUGAAGUGGGCGGAAUAAGACAAGUAGCGGUGAAAUGCAUAGAUAUGUCUUAGAACUCCGAUUGCGAAGGCAGCUCACUAAGCUGGUAUUGACGCUGAUGCACGAAAGCGUGGGGAUCGAACAGGAUUAGAUACCCUGGUAGUCCACGCCCUAAACGAUGAUAACUCGAUGUUGGCGAUAGACAGCCAGCGUCCAAGCGAAAGCGUUAAGUUAUCCACCUGGGGAGUACGCCCGCAAGGGUGAAACUCAAAGGAAUUGACGGGGGCCCGCACAAGCGGAGGAGCAUGUGGUUUAAUUCGAUGAUACGCGAGGAACCUUACCCGGGCUUGAAAGUUAGUGAAGAGUGCAGAGACGCACUCGUCCUUCGGGACACGAAACUAGGUGCUGCAUGGCUGUCGUCAGCUCGUGCCGUGAGGUGUUGGGUUAAGUCCCGCAACGAGCGCAACCCCUAUGUUUAGUUGCCAGCAUUUAAGGUGGGGACUCUAAACAGACUGCCUGUGCAAACAGAGAGGAAGGUGGGGACGACGUCAAGUCAUCAUGGCCCUUACGUCCGGGGCUACACACGUGCUACAAUGGAUGGUACAGCGGGCAGCUACAUAGCAAUAUGAUGCUAAUCUCUAAAAGCCAUUCAUA
RNAcentral lists this ribosomal RNA (1087 nucleotides) under soil metagenome. RNAcentral's name for it is "bacterial SSU rRNA". It matches the Rfam family "Bacterial small subunit ribosomal RNA", at positions 197 to 1290 of the family's 1533-position model. The record is from RNAcentral.